AGCUGAGGGGCUGCAGGGUGGUCGGGGUCAUCGAGAAGGUGCAGCUGGUCCAGGACCCGGCAACCGGAGGGACCUUUGUGGUGAAGGCAGGUGCCACCCUGCCCCUGCCACUCUGCAUUCCCCUUGGAUCUUUCUCAGGGCUCUUGGAAACUCCUACCCAGAACCUGCAUUUGAAGCCUGCACUCCCUCCCACAAAAGCUGGUUGUUCUGCCUGAACAUGCCCCACUUUCCAGAUGGACACACAUGCAUGCACACACACACAUACACAUACACAUACACAUACACACAAACACACAUGCACACACACUGCCCCCUCUUUGGCUAGAGGGUGGAGGACCCAGAUUCUACAGGGGCAGUGGGGGUAAGGACAGGUCAGGAACUGAGGGAGGCAGUUGCUCCACCCUCAUUCGGGUGCCCCUGAAGCCAGGGCUAGGAGGUCCCCUAACAGCAGCAGUCUCUGGCCUGUCCCCGGCUGAUCUGCCUGCCCUGCUGCUCCCAGAGCCUACCCAGGUGCCACAUGGUGAGCAGGGAGCGGCUGACCAUCAUCCCACACGGAGUCCCCUACAUGACGAAGCUGCUCAGGUACUUUGUGAGCGAGGACUCCAUCUUCCUGCACCUGGAGCAUGUGCAAGGAGGCACUCUCUGGUCCCACCUGCUCUCCCAGGCGCACUCCCGACAUUCUGGGCUCAGCUCUGGCUCUACCCAGGAGAGGAUGAAGGCUCAGCUCAACCCCCACCUCAACCUCCUGACCCCAGCGAGGCUUCCCUCAGGCCAUGCCCCUGGCCAGGACAGAAUCGCCCUGGAGCCUCCUA
This 812-nucleotide long non-coding RNA is filed under the name Homo sapiens (human). Its description in RNAcentral is "non-protein coding lnc-PGF-1:1". The record is from RNAcentral. Lineage: Eukaryota; Metazoa; Chordata; Mammalia; Primates; Hominidae.